GGUGGGGGGUGAAGUCCCUCAGCCUGGAUUGUGAGAGGGUGCAGGCCAGGCCGAGGGACCCCAUCAGUGCACC
This 73-nucleotide microRNA precursor is filed under the name Myotis brandtii (Brandt's bat). RNAcentral's name for it is "mir-9193 microRNA precursor family". It matches the Rfam family "mir-9193 microRNA precursor family". Lineage: Eukaryota; Metazoa; Chordata; Mammalia; Chiroptera; Vespertilionidae. The record is from Rfam by way of RNAcentral.